This is a long non-coding RNA of Gopherus evgoodei (Goodes thornscrub tortoise), 1152 nucleotides long. RefSeq lists it as uncharacterized. The record is from RefSeq and is a predicted model, not a curated record. The transcript is spliced from 3 exons. Lineage: Eukaryota; Metazoa; Chordata; Testudines; Testudinidae.
GUCAGGGCGGACCGACGGGAGCAACCGCUGUAGGAGCCGCAGCCGCCAUCUUGCGCCUGUCAGCUUGGGAGCGAGGCGGCGCGCGGGUGAGGUGGGAGAGGGGUUUCUAAAGAUUUCAGCAGGCCGUAGGAUGGAGAGGAACCCCCUUCUUCCUACAGUUUGAGUUCUAUGGUGAUGAUGACUUCUUCGCUGCUGCCCACAAGGAUCUCAGCCAAUUCUGAGGCAGAGAGAAUCAUACUUUGCUAGGGAGCUGUGCUGCUGAACACUGAUGUUUCUUGGGCCAGAUACUGCCACCCUUACUCUUGCUAAGUAACACCUGACUCUGUAAGUAUGCCAGCUGAUGAUGAUAUACUACGCUAGGCCAGGUUUUGCCAUCAGUGUAGCGUUUGGGCCUGACCCUUUAUGCUUCAAGCAAUAAGCUUGGCAUUAUAUAGCCGUAAAGGGUGGUCGCUUUCUUCCAUGUAUAAAACACACCUAUUGAAACACUUUCCAAUCCUUUCUUUUUUACUGUCUCUGAAUUCACUGGUUCAACACAACAGGUACAGAACACACGUCUGAUUGACAAAAAUGCCUGACUGUCCCGAUGUAGCUACAGUGUCAACCAAGUUAACAGUGUUGUUUGUUUGAAAGACUGCCAUCCCUGUACUGUGCUUAGUGUGUGGGGGAAAAAGAAAUGUACCACUUGUUGGAAUCAUACAGGCUAAGCCAUGUCACUUUAUACACAUCUCUUUAAUAAAAGACAGUUGGCCAAAUCCAUCUCUCGUGUAAUUCACUGAAGUCAAGGCAAAUGCACUGGGGUGAAUUUGAACAGUUACAAUGAAAAAUGGUGGAAAUACUCCACUUUUUAUAACUCCAAACUAAAACAAAUACUAUAAAUGCUGCAGGCUGCCUGUCCUAUGAGGGAUUAUAUUGCUUUAAUGGCAGCCAGUCUUUCCAGUUCUAUAUUUGGGUUAUAAUGGCUUCCAGGCUUAUAAUGCCAGUACAACCGCCUGUAGCUUCAACCACCAGGGGUUUAGCCUCCAGGUUUGGUCCUACUAAACGGGCAGCUCAGUACUGGGCUUUUGACAAAUCACCCUCUAAGUCAGGGGUUGGCAACCUUUCAGAAGUGCUGUGCCGAGUCUUCAUUUAUUCACUCUGAUUUAAGGUUUUGCA